Molecule: ribosomal RNA, 463 nt
Filed under: uncultured bacterium
Lineage: Bacteria
Description: bacterial SSU rRNA
Rfam family: Bacterial small subunit ribosomal RNA
Source: RNAcentral
CACAUGUGACCGAGUUUGAUCAUGGCUCAGAACGAACGCUGGCGGCAUGCCUAACACAUGCAAGUCGAACGAACCCUUCGGGGUGAGUGGCGCACGGGUGCGUAACGCGUGGGAACCUGCCCUUAGGUUCGGAAUAACAGUGAGAAAUCGCUGCUAAUGCCGGAUAAUGUCUUCGGACCAAAGAUUUAUCGCCUUUGGAUGGGCCCGCGUUGGAUUAGCUAGUUGGUGGGGUAAAGGCUCACCAAGGCGACGAUCCAUAGCUGGUCUUAGAGGAUGAUCAGCCACACUGGGACUGAGACACGGCCCAGACUCCUACGGGAGGCAGCAGUGGGGAAUAUUGGACAAUGGGCGAAAGCCUGAUCCAGCAAUGCCGCGUGAGUGAUGAAGGCCUUAGGGUUGUAAAGCUCUUUUACCAGGGAUGAUAAUGACAGUACCUGGAGAAUAAGCUCCGGCUAACUCCGUG